Molecule: ribosomal RNA, 516 nt
Filed under: uncultured bacterium
Lineage: Bacteria
Description: partial 16S ribosomal RNA
Rfam family: Bacterial small subunit ribosomal RNA
Source: RNAcentral
GACGAACGCUGGCGGCAUGCCUAAUACAUGCAAGUCGAGCGGAGUUGAUGGAAAGCUUGCUUUCCUGAUACUUAGCGGCGGACGAGUGAGUAACACGUAGGCAACCUGCCCUCAAGCUUGGGACAACUACCGGAAACGGUAGCUAAUACCGAAUACUUGUUUUCUUCGCAUGAAGAGAACUGGAAAGACGGAGCAAUCUGUCACUUGGGCAUGGGCCGGCGGCGCAUGAGCUAGUUGGUGAGGUAACGGCUCACCAAGGCGACGAUGCGUAGCCUACCUGAGAGGGUGAUCGGCCACACUGGGAAUGAGACACGGCCCAGACUCCUACGGGAGGCAGCAGUAGGGAAUCUUCCGCAAUGGGCGAAAGCCUGACGGCGCAAUGCCGCGUGAGUGAUGAAGGUUUUCGGAUCGUAAAGCUCUGUUGCCAGGGAAGAACGCUUGGGAGAGUAACUGCUCCCAAGGUGACGGUACCUGAGAAGAAAGCCCCGGCUAACUACGUGCCAGCAGCCGCCGUAA